GCAGGCUGCAACCCGCCUGUAUGAAGUUGGAAUCGCUAGUAAUCGCGGAUCAGCAUGCCGCGGUGAAUACGUUCCCGGGCCUUGUACACACCGCCCGUCACACCAUGAGAGUCGGGAACACCCGAAGUCCGUAGCCUAACCGCAAGGGGGCGCGGCCGAAGGUGGGUUCGAUAAUUGGGGUGAAGUCGUAACAAGGUAUC
RNAcentral lists this ribosomal RNA (200 nucleotides) under uncultured bacterium. RNAcentral describes it as "partial 16S ribosomal RNA". It matches the Rfam family "Bacterial small subunit ribosomal RNA", at positions 1300 to 1500 of the family's 1533-position model. The record is from RNAcentral.